Nothobranchius furzeri (turquoise killifish) is the source of this 883-nucleotide long non-coding RNA. RefSeq lists it as uncharacterized. The record is from RefSeq and is a predicted model, not a curated record. NCBI's taxonomy places the organism in Eukaryota, Metazoa, Chordata, Actinopteri, Cyprinodontiformes, Nothobranchiidae.
AUCCCCCACAAUUUUGAAAUGCUUGCUACACCCCAUGUGAAUAAUGGAGUUAGAGCAAACUGUCUACUCAGUGUGAUUGUUUCUGUCUCUCCCUGUUCUGGUCCACCACAGGUCUUGGUAAGACCAUUUUUAACACCAAAACCAGCUGCAGCCUUUCUGUGCAGGGUUAGGUUCUCCCACGGCAUGUGUGGAACUGUGUUUGAAUUCUUCGGUUUCCUCCCACAGACCAAAAACAUUCAACAGGGAUGAGGAAAUGCAGAAAUAAGAAGUAAACUGCAGGGAAGAGAGAACAGAAGGGAGCAGAGAGUUCAUGCUAAACCCUUGGUAAUAUUUUGUCAGCAGCAGAGCAGAGAGGGCAAAGCUUCAUGACUCUAGAUGUCCCAGAGGUGCUACAUGACAUAAAACUCAGGUGAGGAGCGGAGAAGUACCAGCUGUUCUGAGUUACUCAUUUGGAGCUCGGGUUUAAAAGGAGGAUGGAGACACUACUCGAAGCCGGAUGAUUACUCCAGUAUUGGAUUACCACCCCAACCUUCACCAAAUUCUGCUAGGAACCACGGAUCCUCAUUCACGUCUCAUCCUCCUCCACCGCUCCUGCAUUUCUCCUCUCUGCUUCCUCACCUCCCGUACGGCUGGUUUACUACACUCGUCUCCUUGGCACCCCGCAGCUCGCUGAGCUAAGAACUCUGAGCAAUCGCCCUCGGCAUCAUUCACUGGAUUUCAGUGCUACUUCAGUUCCCGUUUGUUUAAAUAAAGACUUUAAUUUCUUACCUCCUGACUCCUGAGCUGAUUCUGCAUGUCUUGGGUUAAACGCCUUCCACAAGCCAUGACAGAAAAUACCAAUUUCACAGCAGAAAUAAACAUGUUUUAGGUUUAAUAGAUCUAG